CCUACGGGAGGCAGCAGUAGGGAAUCUUCCACAAUGGGCGAAAGCCUGAUGGAGCAACGCCGCGUGGGUGAAGAAGGUCUUCGGAUCGUAAAACUCUGUUGUUAGAGAAGUAAGUGCGUGAGAGUAACUGUUCACGUUUCGACGGUAUCUAACCAGAAAGCCACGGCUCACUCCGGCCCAGCCGCCGCGGUAAGACGUAGGUGGCAAGCGUUAUUCGGAUUUAUUGGGCGUAAAGGGAGCGCAGUCGGUCUUUUAAGUCUGAUGUGAAAGCCUUCGGCUUAACCGGAGUAGUGCAUUGGAUACUGGGAGACUUGAGUGCAGAUGAGGAGAGUGGAACUCGAUGUGUAGCGGUGAAAUGCGUAGAUAUAAGGAAGAACACCAAUGGCGAAAGCAGCUCACUAAUCUGUAACUGACGCUGAGGUUCGAAAGCGUGGGUAGCAAACAGGAUUAGAUACCCGAGUAGUC
Molecule: ribosomal RNA, 465 nt
Filed under: uncultured bacterium
Lineage: Bacteria
Description: partial 16S ribosomal RNA
Rfam family: Bacterial small subunit ribosomal RNA
Source: RNAcentral